UUUUGACCUCAGUUCAGACAAGGCUACCCGCCGAAUUUAAGCAUAUUACUAAGCGGAGGAAAAGAAACUAACAAGGAUUCCCCUAGUAACGGCGAGCGAACCGGGAAGAGCCCAACUUGAAAAUCUAAAGGUUGUACCUUUCGAAUUGUAGUCUAGAGACGCGUUCUCUGCGGCGGAUCGGCUCCAAGUUCCCUGGAAAGGGACGUCAGAGAGGGUGAGAACCCCGUCGAAGCCGGUUUCAGUCGCUCCACGAGGCGCAGUCGAGGAGUCGGGUUGUUUGGGAAUGCAGCCCUAAGCAGGUGGUAAAUUCCAUCUAAGGCUAAAUAUUGGCGAGAGACCGAUAGCGAACAAGUACCGCGAGGGAAAGAUGAAAAGACCUUUGAAAAGAGAGUUAAAAAGUACCUGAAAUUGUUGAGGGGGAAGCGAUUCAAACCUGUGGGUGCUCCCGGGGCAGUAGCAAUACACGCGCUCGGGGCUGGUCAACGUGGGUUAGCUUGGAAGGAUAUCACUUCCGAGUUGACCGAGGACUCGACGUUGGCGGAAAGGUUUGCAUUGACCCGUCUAGAAACACGGACCAAGGAGUCUAA
RNAcentral lists this ribosomal RNA (587 nucleotides) under uncultured Ostreococcus. Its description in RNAcentral is "eukaryotic LSU rRNA". It matches the Rfam family "Eukaryotic large subunit ribosomal RNA", at positions 1 to 678 of the family's 3401-position model. The record is from RNAcentral. RNAcentral also lists the same sequence under 1 other name. Lineage: Eukaryota; Viridiplantae; Chlorophyta; Mamiellophyceae; Mamiellales.